RNAcentral lists this ribosomal RNA (119 nucleotides) under Castor canadensis (American beaver). Lineage: Eukaryota; Metazoa; Chordata; Mammalia; Rodentia; Castoridae. The record is from RNAcentral.
GUCUACAGCCAUACCACCCUGAAUAUACCCAAUCUCAUCUGGUCUCGAAAGCUAAGCAGGUUUGAGCCUGAUUAGUACUUGGAUGGGAAAAAGAUUUCAGAGAAGACUGCUCAGAGACA